RNAcentral lists this ribosomal RNA (333 nucleotides) under uncultured archaeon. RNAcentral describes it as "partial 16S ribosomal RNA". The record is from RNAcentral.
UCCUUUAAGUUUCAGCCUUGCGACCGUACUCCCCAGGCGGCGAGCUUAACGGCUUCCCUGCGACACUUCGAUCGCGAACUGCGAUCGAAUCAUCUAGCUCGCAUCGUUUACGGCUGGGACUACCCGGGUAUCUAAUCCGGUUCGCUCCCCCAGCUUUCACCCCUCACCGUCGAGCGCGUUCUGGCGGACCGCCUUCGCCACUGGUGGUCUUCCGCGGAUCAAAGGAUUUUACCCCUACACGCGGAGUACCGUCCGCCUCUCCCGCCUCCUAGUCCCGCAGUAUCCUCUGCAGGCCAGCCGUUGAGCGACUGGAUUUAACAGAGGACUUACGGA